CUCGGAUCAGAAUGCUGUUUCCCCAUGCUCUUCCAAGGCUCAUUGAGCACUGACCCCAGCUCUGCUCAUGCCCCACACAGGUCACCCUCUGGGUAGCCCACUGUGUGGAUUCCAUGAAGCAUGCCCUUCUCCCACACAGUCAUCAGCAGUAUCAAUGACCUCCCUCUUCCCAGCUCCAUCAAAGCCAGCCCUGGAAUUAUUAAAGAAAGUCUGACUCCAAGGCAGCCUUUUCUUUCCUCUGCUGAGUGAUUUUCAUUCCUUACAAGGUCCCUGGAGCCAUGGAACCGGCCUGCUCUUGUGGAGCCUGAAUGGAAU
Molecule: long non-coding RNA, 315 nt
Organism: Heterocephalus glaber (naked mole-rat)
Lineage: Eukaryota; Metazoa; Chordata; Mammalia; Rodentia; Bathyergidae
Source: Ensembl